This 1068-nucleotide ribosomal RNA is filed under the name Apoikiospumella mondseeiensis. RNAcentral describes it as "eukaryotic LSU rRNA". It matches the Rfam family "Eukaryotic large subunit ribosomal RNA", at positions 74 to 1231 of the family's 3401-position model. Lineage: Eukaryota; Chrysophyceae; Apoikiales; Apoikiaceae. The record is from RNAcentral.
AUUCCCUCAGUAACGGCGAGUGAAGCGGGAAGAGCUCAGACGUAAAAUCUUCGGAAAUGUCGUCUGGAGAAGCGAGAUGAAACUGUUAGGGCGGGCCAAGUCUUCUGGAACGAAGCGCCAGUGAGGGUGAUAGCCCCGUACAUGCCUGCCCGAAAGGUCGAAUUCUGCUUUCAACGAGUCGAGUUGUUUGGGAUUGCAGCUCUAAGCGGGUGGUAAAUUCCAUCUAAAGCUAAAUAUUGGUGGGAGACCGAUAGCGAACAAGUACCGUGAGGGAAAGAUGCAAAGAACUUUGAAAAGAGAGUGAAAGAGUACCUGAAAUUGCUGAAAAGGAACCGAUGGGAGGCAGUGUUGCCUGUGGUCACUCGUGGCUGCAGCAAGUCAGGCUUCCUUGGGUGCGCGGGAGAGGGGUUCGGACCUGUAUGGGCCGAGCAUUCCGUCGUGCGCCCGAGGGACUCUGACAAAAUGCCUCUUAUCAUCCCGUCUUGAAACACGGACCAAGGAGUCUAACAUGUGUGCGAGUGCUCGGGGUGAACCCCCCAGCGCGGAAUUAACGUAAAGGCUCUGUAUGGAGCUGAGGUAGGAUGUUUCGACAGCACUAUCGACCGACCAUGAUCCCUCGGGUGAAAGGUUUGAGUGUGAGCAUACAUGUUGGGACCCGAAAGAUGGUGAACUAUGCCUGAGUAGGGCGAAGCCAGGGGAAACUCUGGUGGAGGUCCGUAGCGAUUCUAACGUGCAAAUUGAUCGUCGAACUUGGGUAUAGGGGCGAAAGACUAAUCGAACCAUCUAGUAGCUGGUUCCUCCCGAAAUUUCCCUCAGGAUAGCUGCAACCGAACAGUUUUAUCAGGUAAAGAGAAUGAUUAGAGGCAUCAGGGGUGGAACGUCCUUGACCUAUUCUCAAACUUUAAAUGGGUAAGAGCCCCGGGUUGCUUAAUUUGAACCCGGUGGUCGAAUGACGGUUGCUAGUGGGCCAAUCUGGGUAAGCUAGAUUGGCGAUGCGGGAUGAACCGAACGUCAAGUUAAAGUGCCAAAGUAUCCGCUAACCUAGAUCCCACAAAAGGUGUUGGUUCA